This 442-nucleotide ribosomal RNA is filed under the name uncultured bacterium. RNAcentral's name for it is "partial 16S ribosomal RNA". It matches the Rfam family "Bacterial small subunit ribosomal RNA", at positions 338 to 795 of the family's 1533-position model. The record is from RNAcentral.
CCUACGGGGGGCAGCAGUAGGGAAUCUUUCACAAUGGGCGAAAGCCUGAUGGAGCAACGCCGCGUGCAGGAUGAAGGCCUUCUGGUUGUAAACUGCUUUUAUAAGCGGGAAAUAUGAUUGUAAGUGAUGAAUAAGGAUCGGCUAACUACGUGCCAGCAGCCACGGUCAUACGUAGGGUCCGAGCAUUAUCCGGAGUGACUGAGUGUAAAGAGUUGCGUAGGUGGCAUAAUAAGUAGCUAGUGAAAUCUGGUGGCUCAACCAUUAAGACUAUUAGCUAAACUGUUAAGCUCGAGAACGUUAGGGGUAACUGGAAUUUCUAGUGUAGGAGUGAAAUCCGUAGAUAUUAGAAGGAACACCAAUAGCGUAGGCAGGUUACUGGGACGGUUCUGACACUAAGGCACGAAAGCGUAGGGAGCAAACGGGAUUAGAUACCCCAGUAGUC